This 454-nucleotide ribosomal RNA is filed under the name uncultured bacterium. Its description in RNAcentral is "partial 16S ribosomal RNA". It matches the Rfam family "Bacterial small subunit ribosomal RNA", at positions 355 to 801 of the family's 1533-position model. The record is from RNAcentral.
UAGGGAAUCUUCCACAAUGGACGCAAGUCUGAUGGAGCAACGCCGCGUGAGUGAAGAAGGUCUUCGGAUCGUAAAGCUCUGUUGUUGGUGAAGAAGGAUAGAGGCAGUAACUGGUCUUUAUUUGACGGUAAUCAACCAGAAAGUCACGGCUAACUACGUGCCAGCAGCCGCGGUAAUACGUAGGUGGCAAGCGUUGUCCGGAUUUAUUGGGCGUAAAGCGAGCGCAGGCGGAAUGAUAAGUCUGAUGUGAAAGCCCACGGCUCAACCGUGGAACUGCAUCGGAAACUGUCAUUCUUGAGUGCAGAAGAGGAGAGUGGAACUCCAUGUGUAGCGGUGGAAUGCGUAGAUAUAUGGAAGAACACCAGUGGCGAAGGCGGCUCUCUGGUCUGCAACUGACGCUGAGGCUCGAAAGCAUGGGUAGCGAACAGGAUUAGAUACCCUGGUAGUCCAUGCC